CCGCUGCCUACGAAGCGGAUCUGACCAAGUUAGUCUGGGGGGGGGGGGGGCGCUCAAGAGCAAAGGCGGCCCGGGCGCAGAGGACCCCUGCGCUGGGCGGAAGUGGCUAGAUCGCCUGCCCCUGCCCAGCCGCGUUAUCGCUGGGGAGGCAGAUCCUAACUCUGUCGGCUAACCACCUUCCUGGAGCUGAACUAGAAGCUGAGAAGCGUGCUAUGGGGCGGAGCCCCCCUGUGCGCAUGCGGGACGGGGUUUGCGUUUUCCCCACCUGCGAGACCCUGCUAUGGGACAGACGGGCACCGAACCCCGUUUCCGUGUCUCCACGUGCUCUCUGGACCAGCCGUGCUUCGCUGCCUGCCCCUUCCAGCUACUCUGUCUUUGCUCUCUGGCCUCCAGUGGAGUGGAGUUGAGUCGGUGGAGGAGGAAGAUCAGAAGGUAGAGGGAGAAAAAGACCGGGUUAUUUAUUGAUUCCAACAGCAGAAUGCUUUGAACCUGCAGUUCCCUCCCCCGGGGCUGUUUAUACCAGACGUUAACGGGGCUUACUGCUUUACGUCUUUCCCCCUAUUAUCUUUUAGGAGACCUUUUCCAGCAUAUUUAAAAAAAAAAAAAAAAAAGGCCGGCCUGCCCCCUCCCCCCCUGUUCCUACUCUAUCCUUCUUCACAUUCAUCACCAACUGAUGUUGUAUUUGUUUAGCGGUCCCCUCCCCUCCCCUCCCCUCCCCUCCCCUUCCCUGUGGGGAGUAGAGCUUGGAAUAGGAGCUCCCCGAGGGUUGGGAUUUCAUUAUUCGUAGAACGUAGCACGUAGAACAAUACCCGGUGUGGGAUUGUUGCGCUGUGUCGUUCGAAGGGGACGCUGAGUGAAAGGCCCGUGUGUCCCUGUGUGACCCAAUAUGGCGGCUCCAUCAGAUAUGGAUGGGCCUGUCCCUAGCAGGGCAGCUCUGGCUUCAUCUGUCAACUUGAUUAUGCAAAGCCUCUGUUUUCAACUGGCAUCUGAGGUGGAUUUCAAAGCCGUGACUCAUGUGUGCUUCAGGCCGAGGACCUGGAGAGCAGCUCUGUCCGACGAGCUCCCUGCACAGGCCUGGCUCUUUGCGAGAAGGUCCUCCAAGGCCCCGGUGGCUCAAUGAUUCACAAAACUCUUCGACCCUCACCCGGAGUGGCUUCUCUGGGCUGGCAGGACUGCUGGCUCCCACGCCAGCCCGUGGGUCACGUGAGCACGUCCGCCGUCCCCGGCAUUGUUCCUGCCCAGAGUAAAUGAUGGCUGUUUAAUCAAAAGCAGGCCGAGCCUCCCUGGCCCGACCAGUACCUUGUCAGCACCAGCCUUCCCCCCACCUCUGCCGCUGAGCUUUGGUGGUACGGGUCCCAGGGACCCGGGAGGCUUCGUCUACACCAUCCAGAAGCCACUCCUUCGGAGGGCGUCUUCCGGAGUUUCAACCCCGGGCACGAGCCAGCGGCUCCGAGGCAGGAAUGAGCAGGUGAGUGACAGAGGAUCCCCUAGGAGUUUCCAUGUCUCGGGGGGGCUAUGGGUCACCUCUGGCCCUUACUGCCUGUGUGGGAUGAUUCCUAAGUCAGGUCGGAUGCCAGGCGUGAGACGCAUUUGCUUCCAUGCUCUCUGGGGUGCCCCUAAGGGCCAGGGGGAGUGAAGACCCCUACCUCUGUUGGAAAACCUUACAAUUAAGUGCUAAGCCCGGUUGGCCUAAUGCCAGCCGGUCCUGUUGUCCUGGUAUCGGGGCAAGGCUCGUAAGUUUAGCCAGGACGGCGUGAGCCGGGUGCCAGCGUUAGUCGCUCGAGCCAGAAAUUCCAGCAACCCCUCACCCGCCCCGGUGGGGGAGCUGUGGGGUCUCUGGGGGUCUGCCACAUCACGUUCUGGGUUUCCUC
Molecule: long non-coding RNA, 1871 nt
Filed under: Felis catus (domestic cat)
Lineage: Eukaryota; Metazoa; Chordata; Mammalia; Carnivora; Felidae
Description: lncRNA (ENSFCAG00000050876.1)
Source: RNAcentral